AGGCAUUUAGUAUAAUGAAAAUAUUUGAUUUCGACUCAAAAGCUCGUGGUUUAAGUCCACGAUUGCCUA
This 69-nucleotide transfer RNA is filed under the name Eleutheronema tetradactylum (Indian salmon). RNAcentral describes it as "tRNA-Arg". It matches the Rfam family "tRNA". Rfam says of the family: Transfer RNA (tRNA) molecules are approximately 80 nucleotides in length. Their secondary structure includes four short double-helical elements and three loops (D, anti-codon, and T loops). Further hydrogen bonds mediate the characteristic L-shaped molecular structure. tRNAs have two regions of fundamental functional importance: the anti-codon, which is responsible for specific mRNA codon recognition, and the 3' end, to which the tRNAs corresponding amino acid is attached (by aminoacyl-tRNA synthetases). tRNAs cope with the degeneracy of the genetic code in two manners: having more than one tRNA (with a specific anti-codon) for a particular amino acid; and 'wobble' base-pairing, i.e. permitting non-standard base-pairing at the 3rd anti-codon position. Lineage: Eukaryota; Metazoa; Chordata; Actinopteri; Polynemidae. The record is from RNAcentral. RNAcentral also lists the same sequence under 1 other name.